GAUGAAGAACGUAGCGAAAUGCGAUAAGUAAUGUGAAUUGCAGAAUUCAGUGAAUCAUCGAAUCUUUGAACGCACCUUGCGCCCUUUGGCCAUUCCGAAGGGCAUGCCUGUUUGAGUAUCUUGAACACCUCAACUCUCAUGGCUCGCCAUGAUGAGCUUGGACUUUGGGGGUCUUGCUGGCCUGUGGUCGGCUCCUCUCAAAUGGAUCAGCUUGCCAGUGUUUGGUGGCAUCACAGGUGUGAUAACUAUCUGCGCUUGUGGUUUUCCAUCAGAUAACCUUCAGUGAUGGAGGUUCGCUGGAGCUCAUAAACGUCUCCCCUAAGCGGGGACAGCCCUUUGAAUGUUUGAUCUCAAAUCAGGUAGGACUACCCGCUGAACUUAAGCAUAUCAAUAAGCGGAGGA
RNAcentral lists this unclassified non-coding RNA (402 nucleotides) under soil metagenome. RNAcentral's name for it is "partial contains 5.8S ribosomal RNA, internal transcribed spacer 2, and large subunit ribosomal RNA". The stretch from base 1 to 121 matches the Rfam family "5.8S ribosomal RNA", at positions 35 to 154 of the family's 154-position model. The record is from RNAcentral.